AAUUAAAGGAGAAGUAAAACACUAGUUGUAUCUCUCUUAGAAAACGGUCCUCUCUCUUCAAAAUUCCCAAUUCUCGCGCAGCUCAAAUAGCUCAAAUCUAUCAGGAGUAGUCAUCUGAAGCCCUUAUCUCUGAGGAAUUGACAGAUCUCCACCCCUCCGCACAGAAGGAUGGCUUCUUCGCCAAACUUAUUUUGUGAAUUUUCGGCUUUGAUAUUCAUCUCUCAGAUAUCUUCUUUUCCUGGGAAAAGAUGAACUAAAAUAGUCUAGCAAGCUAAUACUUACAAUUAUAGGGGAAAUAAAUAUAGUAAGUUUAUUCAUAUGGGCUCCUUCUACGAGGA
Molecule: long non-coding RNA, 338 nt
Organism: Solanum stenotomum
Lineage: Eukaryota; Viridiplantae; Streptophyta; Magnoliopsida; Solanales; Solanaceae
Exons: 3
Source: RefSeq, a predicted model, not a curated record